CUUGUGGCCAUAUCAGGUUGAAACACCAGUUCUCAUUUGCUCAUUGAAGUUAAGCAAAGUCAAGUCUGGCCAGUAUCUGGAUAGGUGACCACUUGAGAAUACCAGGUGCUGUAAG
Molecule: non-coding RNA, 115 nt
Organism: Acanthosepion pharaonis
Lineage: Eukaryota; Metazoa; Mollusca; Cephalopoda; Sepiida; Sepiidae
Source: the annotation of a GenBank genome assembly